Molecule: ribosomal RNA, 482 nt
Filed under: uncultured bacterium
Lineage: Bacteria
Description: partial 16S ribosomal RNA
Rfam family: Bacterial small subunit ribosomal RNA
Source: RNAcentral
AUUGAACGCUGGCGGCAUGCCUUACACAUGCAAGUCGAACGGUAACGGGCCUUCGGGUGCCGACGAGUGGCGAACGGGUGAGUAAUACUUCGGAACGUGCCCGAUCGUGGGGGAUAACGAGGCGAAAGCUUUGCUAAUACCGCAUACGAUCUACGGAUGAAAGCAGGGGACCGCAAGGCCUUGCGCGGACGGAGCGGCCGAUGGCAGAUUAGGUAGUUGGUGGGAUAAAGGCUUACCAAGCCGACGAUCUGUAGCUGGUCUGAGAGGAUGAUCAGCCACACUGGGACUGAGACACGGCCCAGACUCCUACGGGAGGCAGCAGUGGGGAAUUUUGGACAAUGGGCGCAAGCCUGAUCCAGCCAUGCCGCGUGCAGGAUGAAGGCCUUCGGGUUGUAAACUGCUUUUGUACGGAACGAAAAGCCUUCUUUUAAUACAGGAGGGUCAUGACGGUACCGUAAGAAUAAGCACCGGCUAACUACGUG